AUAUAUAAGGGGCAGGACAGGAAGUGGCGGUGGCUUUGUGUGUGCGCGGCUGUGCUCGCGUGGGAGUGCGUGUGUGUGUCUGUGUGUGUGCGCGCGCCUGUGUCUGUGUGUGCGCGCGCGUGCGUGCGAGUCAGUCAGUCAGGUGUGUGUGUGCCACCCUCUUUCCCCCUACACGUUGAUCUUAUUCGAUCGGCCGGGCCCCGCCGGGCCGAGGUGAGAAGAAACCGCCGCGAAGCCCUUGGGCGCUGUGCGGCUGGGCCGGGCGGGAUGAGUCGAUCAGAUAGGCGAGGCCACGGCCGAUGAGCGCCCUGCGAUUCUGACCCGC
Molecule: non-coding RNA, 325 nt
Organism: Ficedula albicollis (Collared flycatcher)
Lineage: Eukaryota; Metazoa; Chordata; Aves; Passeriformes; Muscicapidae
Source: Ensembl